GGAGUGAAGCAGGGCAGAGUGGAGAGGGAGAGCAGCUGCAGAGUGGGGGUGGGCAUCAGCCGGAAGAGCCUCCCCGUCCUGGCCUGGCCACACCUCUGGCACUGCAACCUGGAGGCCAGCCUCACCUCCCAGUCCUGACCUGCCUGCCCCUGACAGUCCAGACCUACUGUGCAUGUCGCUGGGCUGCUGAGAAGCAUCUUGGGGUAUUUAGGCAAACUGUGCCCUGCCAGACCUUUUAGGUGUACAUGGGGCAUUUUCUUCCACCCCCCUCUCCUUUUCUUUCUCUCUCUUUUUGGUGAGCUCCUCUUCCCCUAGAAUCUAUAGAAAAGAAACCUUGAACUCGAAGCCUGACCUGCUUCCUUGCUUUGGUCUGCUGCCUUCCCUCUUCCCUUCAGCUCUGGGCUUUGUGCAGGGAGACAGUGACCCCAUGAACGUGCGUUUCCUGCCUGACAUCCUCUGUCCUAUUGGGAAGUCACUCCCACUCAUUGGAAGUCACUUAGCCCUAUUCCCUCUUCUUGGGCCCCCCGCAGGGCUCAAGAUAUUUCUCUGACAAGGCUGCUGAGUGAAUUGAUAAGUGAUUUGGAAACAGACAAGGCUAGGUGGCAAGGAAAAACACUACUCUCCCAUCUGUCACCCUCUUCCUAAAAGGCUACCGCUUGCCUGGUUUUGAGAACACUUCUGGGUCACCUGCUAAGUUGCUGAGACCACAGAAACUUCUCCUGAGUACAAGAGGAGGACUAAGCACAGGUCUACUUGACUCCAGAUUUCUUAAUCUCUAAGACGCGUCCACAGAAGUGAUAAGAAAAAAAAAGGACAUUGCAGAGGGCAAAGCCAAGAGGUUUGGAGAGUGGUGGAUAAGGAGCUACUCCAGGAAGCAGAACAAGGACUAAGUCAGAGCCCACUUUGCCACUCCUGUGAAGGUCAGAAGUGCCUGGCAAUUAACGGCUUAGCAGGAACAGCCCUCAACCAGUGACCGAUGGGUGAAUGAACACAGCAGCUCAAGUGGGACAGCCUUGAGGGCUGCAGUGGCACCUGCUAUAUGAGGCUGAGAGGAGAGGCUGCUCAGACGCAGAGAGCCCAGUUGAAAUCUACCCACACUUGCUAUUAAAUCACAAGCCGUCCACACAAAGAACAAAAUCCAACCAACAGCUACGGGGCUCCGUGAGGCAGUGGACACCAGUGCUGCAACCCUCAUGCCCCGAAAUGCACCUGACAUAUGGGACAUGGAUGGAGCUGGAAGCCACGAUCCUCAGCAAACUAACACAGGAAUACAAAACAAAACACCACAUGUCUCAUAAGUGGGAGCUGAAUAAUAAGAACACAUGGACACAGUGGAAACCACAAUAAAGGGUGUUGCCUGCAUUUUCCUCAUCAUUCCCUCUGCCUCCUGACUGACCCUGGUGCGUGACCAGUGGAAACCCCCACUCCUGGCACUUUAUGCCGUCCCAGUCUUGGGAACUGACUUGUGAGUAGAAAUGCCUUCUGGAGCACCCUCAUUCCAAUUGGAUGUGAGAAGAGGAAAACUCAUUCAGGCAUACAGAAGGACAAAGCUCUCAAAUUGGAGGGGCUGUGGCAUUCCACAUGCCACCCCUUGAAAAGAGUUUUAGUAUGGUCUUCCAAACCACUCUAUUGCCUCAUUUCAUCUCUCCAGGAGGGUCUGGGCCCAUCUUGACAGUAGCAAGAAAGCAUUCCCAGACAGCUUAUUACGAUGCAUAACAUUUGACUAACAUAAAUUCAAAGUCGAGCAAAUGAAGGCAAAAAGGCAGAAGGGAAGAGUGAAAAUGGACCCAGAAAUAGGGCGAAGCAUGUCUGCCACACUCGUCUACCUGCUGACCAUGGGUGAACCUCAUGGUGAGCUGUUGACCACAGGAUUCACCACAGAAUUCACUCUCCAGAAGACAAAAACUGCUGUGGAGAUUGGAAAAUUUAUCUUAAAAUAUUAAGGUCAGACAAGAACCUCUGUCAAGGAACAGGAAGUCGUGCCCUGAGGAGACAAGUAGAGGCUGUAGCCAUGGGUGGCUUUGGGGUAGUAGCUGUUGGCUGUGCCUAGAAGGACAUCAUGAAAGUUGUAAGUGCUGCUAAUUGACGUCCCCCAAUUCAUAUGCGGAAGUCCUGGCCCCUAGUACCUCAAGAUGUGCUUGGUUUUGGAGCUGGGGUCUUUAAAGAGUUUUGCAACUACAAAGGGCCCAGAGUUUCCCUUGUGAAUGAGCUCAGCAUCCUCACGUUUCCAAGAGGAAUCAACACUGCAAUUCCUCGGACCACGGUGGCUCUCUUCCCAGCACACCUUUGCUGUGACCUGCACCCCUGCAUUGUCCUCAAAGACACACUAAGAAAACACAUUUCAGAAGGAAGGACGUAACGGAGCUCAUGAUCCAGUUCUGCAUUUGGCGUGGCCCCAAAGACACUGUGUGCAGAGUCAGAAAUAUGCUCCCCAGUUGGACUCCAUGGGAUACUGUUUCAAAAGAGCUAUCAUUCUUGUCUGUUUACCACAUAUCUUGUUCUAAUAGGCUCUUCUUUUCCAGAGUUUUUUAUUUUCCCUGGCAUUUUGUGUUUUGGUAAUUGCCUACAAGAAUAGUUCUAUAACAGAAAUCAACAAUGAAAACCAAAUUACCCCUGCCCACAUCCUUUCAUUCCUUUUUCAUCUCUAAUGAUAUUUUCUGUAUGAUGACUAACCCAGACUGACGUAAUUUAUCAAUUGAUCUUGACGAUGUACAUUAGAAAAUGCAUUCUGCAGGCCCCAGCAGGCCAUCUUCCAUGUGCGCCACGUAGCUUUAGAAAACCUAUUAGUGCAACAGAAAUAUCUAAAGCCCAGCCUUUUUGCUAAGAAUAUUAGAACUGGUGCUAAUUACUUUAUUAAUCAUAAAGUGAAACAGCCGUGCUAUGUCACCACAGCCGUAAAAUAAGUGGUUUUAUGGCAAAAGUAGUUAAAGAGAAAGGACAGAUUGGAUUUAUAUACUCAGCUGGUUAAAAAAAAGAAAUUAUGCAUACCAGCAAUUUUCUUUCUUUGGUUAAAUGUUCAUUAAAUGUGUACCACUAAAAACCAUUUGUAACUAAUUCCCUAGUGGGUCCAUGCCUUAAAAUAAUUUAUUUUAAAAUACAAAUUAAGGCUUAAAUUUGCCUUUUUAUUAAAAAUAGGUAUAAUGAGUCAACAUAUCUCCUAAGAGAAAGGAGCGUUGCAGACAUGCUGAUGAGAGGAAUCUUGUCGCCAAAACCUGGAGGCCAUGCUGGUGUUGGGGACUUAGGCUAUCCUGCAGGUGCCUGUCACCAUUAAGGGCGGCAGAAUUCAGAGGCUUUGGUCCAGGUUAAAGCACAGAGGUGGCCACUGUCUGAAGACAGGGACACCACAAUGACCAUCAUUGAGGGCGAUGUUUAUGCUUCCAUUGUUAGUUUAGAUAUUUUGUUUUCUUUAAAGUCAGUAUUGUCUCUGAGUAAAUAAAAACAAUCUCCAGUUUCUGCAAGUAUGCUUGGCUUUCACACACUUUGCAAUUAAAAAAAACUAGGAUUCAUCAACAUUUCACUUUCUGUUACUGAUUAAAGCCACUUGUGUGUGUGUGUAUGUGUGUGUGUGUGUGCGUGGGCAUGUGUGCAUGUGAUUAGAUGGAAGAGAGAGCAUUAAUGUUUGUUAAGUGCUAAUACAUUUCAGACACUUUAUACAUUAAUCUAUUAAUGGCUAUCUCAUUUAAUAUUCAAAACAGAUGUGUUAUAGGUGGCCUAUCUCCUGUUUACAGAAAACCAAGGUGCAAUAAUCUCUCUCUGAAGGUAACUCUGUUGUGGCAGAUAUGGAAUCCUGACUCAAGACUGCCAGAUUCCAAAAUCCAUGCUCUUUAUCCUGUACCAGGGCAUUUCCAAUUAAAAUGCAAGACAAAAUUACUAAAUGCUGAGUGCAGGCUGAUUUCACAAAUCAAAAUGAUGAAGUAGAUAAUAUUGUCUCCAUUUUAGCACUGGACACUAAAAAGAGGGUAAGUUGUCAGGGUCACAUAGUUAGUGAGUGAAUUCCAACCCAAAUCCAUUAUGGGAGUCUAGGCCCCCUUGUCUAUGGUCUCAGUAUCCUCUUCCAUCAGAUAAUUUCCAGCCCUAGGAAUUUUCUUCUUGUAUUAAAUAUCUCCUGGCUCAAAGUUAAAUUCAUUUUCUUUUGCUUUGCCUUUUAUUUAUUUAUUUAUUUAUUUAUUUAUUUGAGACAAAAAUCUCUGUUGCCCAGGCUGGAGUGCAGUGGCACAAUCUCAGCUCACUGAAACCCCCACCUUCUGGGUUCAAGUGAUUCCCCUACCUCAGUCUCCCAAGUAGCUGGGAUUAUAGGCAUGUGCCAUCAUACCCAGCUAAUUUUUGUAUUUUUAGUAAAGACAGGGUUUCACCAUACUGGCCAUGCUGGUCUUGAACUCCUGACCUCAGAUGAUCCACCCACCUCAGCCUCCCAAAGUGCUGGGAUUACAGGCAUGAGCCGCCAUGCUCAGCCUGCUUUGCCUUUUGUGAUCAAAAGAAAAAAUACCACCAUCCUUCAGGUAAUCCUAUCAACAUAGUGUAAACUCUUCAAAUUACCCUUCAAUGGGUUAAACAAUCCCAAAUUACUAAGUUGUCUCUUGGUGAAGACAGUAUUCCUAGUUACUUCUGACCACACAGAAUCAAUACAAAGAAACCAGACCAAAGAAACUGCCUCUUAAAAUAGAACAUGCCAUCUUUUUAUGUCACAGCUGGGACUAGUAUUGUUUCCAACGAACAGAGUGUGGAAUUGAGGACUCAACUUAGGUGAAGCUCUGCUACGGAGUAGGCAACUAUCAGACGUUGGCUCUUUCCUCUCUCCUUGAUGGGCCCACUGGCCCAGGAUAUGAGGCCUGAGAGAUUCCUAUAGGAGGAGAGGAUGAAUAUUUUGACAAGCAGGUAACUUUAGAAAGAUGUAGGUAGCAGAUCUUAGGGAUUGGUGUUCUAGAACAGGGGUCCCCAGCCUUUUUGGCACUAGGGACCCAUUUCGUGGAAGACAAUUUUUCCAUGGAUGGGAGCAGGGAUGGUUUCGGGAUGAAACUGUUCCACCUCGGGUCAUAAGGCAUUAGUUAGAUUCUCACAAGGAGUGCUCAACCUAGAUCCCUCGCAGGCACAGUUCACAAUAGGGUUCAUGCUCCUGUGAGAAUCUAUAGCUGAUGCUGAUCUGACAGGAGGCGGAGCUCAGGUGGUAAUGCUCACUUGCCCGCUACUCACCUCCUGCUCUGUGACCUGGUUCCUAGCAGACCACGGACCAGCAUGGUUCCAUGGCCCAGAGGAUGGGGACCCCUGUUCUAGAGCAAAACUCCAAUUGGAAAGUAAGGCAAAGAGACCAAGACAGGAAUGUAGCAAUAACUCUGGAGUACAAGGUAGGGCAGAAAUUAAAGUACACAUUCAAGCAAGGAUUACUUUCUUAUUCCAUGCAUUACCAAGUCAUUUGGAUCCUUAACGUCCUAUAUGGAUGUGAUAGGUCCCAGGGCCUGGGUUAAGCUUGAGGCAGGACCAGCUGCUUAAUUUGUGGGCUGUAGUGCAAAAUGAAAUUGCAGGCACCUUAUUCAAAAGCUAGACAAAAGUGCUGUUAAAGGUUCCAAAAUAUUAAACUCUUUCUUUUCUUUCUGGUUUCUUUCCCUAUUAUGCUUUAAAAAUUUUUGCUAUUUGAUAUUGCACUCCCUCAGGCAUGGGGAUAUUUGCAAGGGUCAGUAUGGACUCUCACAAGUGCCUGGGGACCCCUAUUUGUGACUUUGCAGUGUUACCCACUAGCUUCCAGGACAGGACAUUCUCUGUCAGCCCCCAGAUUGAUGUUCUCUGCCCAGCCAGGUUAUGGGAGUCAGCCCUAACUCACAGAGGACUGGAGACUCUCAAGGGAUCGCAAUCUCAACACUGAGAAGUGGUUGGGACCUGGGUUGGGUAGGCAGAGGCUCACACCUGCCUGGAUGUGUACUGAACAGCCAUGGUACUGCCAGCCGGAGAUGAGGACAGCUGCCAGCCAGGGAUGGGGACAGCGACCACCAUGCCCUGCCCUGAGACACCCCUGAACCUUCCAGCAUCCUUGUCUGUGCACAGGUUCUCACUGGAGGCAGAGAGUGAUGAGAGAAUGACAGCUUGCACCCCGCCCCAUCCCCAGCCUAAGUGAGCUCACUGAUGCCCCAGGCAGUGGGCAGGAUCCCUUGUGGGGUGGGGUGGGGGAGGUGGGGCAAGGGCAGGGCACCAGGACCGGGAGGCAGUGAAGAACCCUUCCCAGGGAACAGGGAGAUUGUGGUGGUGGGGCCUGAGUGUGAAACAAGGCUCCCACAUCCUAGUGCAUUCUUCACUUUCCCGUCAGAAAUAGGAAUUCCAAGAUAAAAUUAAGAAUUUCAGGAUGGUGAUCUUAGGAGCUUCCCUUGCCAAGCCGGGAGUUCUGGACACCUGCACUGAUUUGUGACCUCAGCCAGCCUUGAUUUGAGGUGCAGCCUCAGUGGCUCUGGCAUAGAUAUCGGAAAACCACUGAGCUGGAACACCAGGCAGGUCACAGGGGUUUGAAUUUGUAAUUCAACAUUUCUAUUGAUACGUGCCUUUUAUAAAUGCUCCGUGGCCUUUUAAUAACUUGGUGUGUUAUCUUGCCCAGAGUUUUCGUUCACUAUUAAUACUGAUUCUGUCACUGUUGAGAUAUCUGACUCUGGACAGACUCUGCUCCUUGGCUUCCUCUUCUCUUUUAGUUCUUAUUCUUUGUGAUUCUGCAAACUUAGUUUUAAAGCCUCAUAUUGGAUAUUAAGACAAACGACAUCAUACAACGUAGUUCACCCUAUCCAUUGAUCUGUCUGGCUUCUGUGUUUAAACAAAAGGGACUGGCAGUCUUGCCAAAUCCCUCACUCACCCUAUGUUGUAUUUUAGAUCAUGUUUCAAGAAAGGGAGGCCCCUGUGUCCAGUUAUUGAUUAGCUGGGGAGGAAAAAAAUGGCUUUGCCUCAUUUCUUGUUAGGUAGCAAUCCACGUAUCUUUCCAGUAAGCAGCAUGACACUUCAGGGGGCUCUGGAAGACAUUUGACACUCUGGCGUCAGAGAGCCAAGGCCUGGGAGGUGUGUCCAGCAGUGUGUGUAUCCAGGAAGCAGCAGAGGAACACAGCAUCUGACAGUUCUGUCACUCCUGGCUGUGUGACUGCAGGCUAGUCACUUUCUGUCUCUGGGCUUCAGUUUUUCCAUCUUAAAAUAAAGAGAUUGGACUAGGUCAUCUCCAGGGUUUCAUCUGGCUCCAAAAUCUAAGAUUUUAUGACUGUGAAUCAACAACUUCCAUCUUCUCAGGGGCCUCCAGUCAAGUCAUUCUGGGGAUCACAGUCUUUCAUAAUCUCUGAAGCUUCAUUUCUCAAAACAGCUCAGAGCGGGCCUGUCAUGGUGGCUCACGCCUAUAAUCCCAGCACUUUGGAAGGGUGAGGUGGGUGGAUCACCUGAGGUCAGGAGUUCGAGACCAGCCUGGCCACCGUGGUGAAACCCCAUCUCUACUACAAAUACAAAAAAUUAUCUGGGUGUGGUGGCGGGCGCCUGUAAUCCCAGCUACUUUGGAGGCUGAGGCAGGAGAAUCACUUGAACCCUGGGAGGCAGAGGUUGCAGUGAACUGAGAUGGCGCCGUUGCACUCCA
Molecule: long non-coding RNA, 7582 nt
Filed under: Homo sapiens (human)
Lineage: Eukaryota; Metazoa; Chordata; Mammalia; Primates; Hominidae
Description: HSALNT0134861
Source: RNAcentral